Molecule: ribosomal RNA, 238 nt
Filed under: Pluteus eludens
Lineage: Eukaryota; Fungi; Basidiomycota; Agaricomycetes; Agaricales; Pluteaceae
Description: partial large subunit ribosomal RNA
Source: RNAcentral
AAACGCUUGAAGUCAGUCGCAUUGGCUGGGGAUCAACCUUACUUGUGAGGUGUACUCUCUAGUCAAUGGGUCAGCAUCAAUUUUGACUGCUGGAAAAAGGUCUGGGGAAUGUGGCAUCUCCGGAUGUGUUAUAGCCCCUGAUCAUAUACAGUGGUUGGGAUUGAGGAACUCAGCACGCCGCAAGGCCGGGUAUCUACCACGUUCGUGCUUAGGAUGCUGGCAUAAUGGCUUUAAUCGA